This 260-nucleotide ribosomal RNA is filed under the name uncultured bacterium. RNAcentral describes it as "partial 16S ribosomal RNA". It matches the Rfam family "Bacterial small subunit ribosomal RNA", at positions 92 to 353 of the family's 1533-position model. The record is from RNAcentral.
CGAGUGGCGGACGGGUGAGUAAUGUCUGGGAAACUGCCUGAUGGAGGGGGAUAACUACUGGAAACGGUAGCUAAUACCGCAUAACGUCGCAAGACCAAAGAGGGGGACCUUCGGGCCUCUUGCCAUCGGAUGUGCCCAGAUGGGAUUAGCUAGUAGGUGGGGUAACGGCUCACCUAGGCGACGAUCCCUAGCUGGUCUGAGAGGAUGACCAGCCACACUGGAACUGAGACACGGUCCAGACUCCUACGGGAGGCAGCAUG